CGGGAGGCAGCAGUGGGGAAUAUUGGACAAUGGGCGCAAGCCUGAUCCAGCCAUACCGCGUGUGUGAAGAAGGCCCUAGGGUUGUAAAGCACUUUAAGUUGGGAAGAAAAGUUAUUGGUUAAUACCCAAUGACCGUGACAUUACCUUCAGAAUAAGGACCGGCCAAUUCCGUGCCAGCAGCCGCGGUAAUACGGAAGGUCCAAGCGUUAAUCGGAAUUACUGGGCGUAAAGCGCGCGUAGGUGGUUUAUUAAGUUGGAUGUGAAAUCCCCGGGCUCAACCUGGGAACUGCAUCCAAAACUGAUUCACUAGAGUACGAUAGAGGGAGGUAGAAUUCACAGUGUAGCGGUGGAAUGCGUAGAUAUUGUGAAGAAUACCAAUGGUGAAGGCAGCCUCCUGGAUCUGUACUGACACUGAGGUGCGAAAGCGUGGGUAGCGAACAGGAUUAGAUACCCUGGUAGUCCACGCCGUAAACGAUGUCAACUAGCUGUUGGAAAACUAUGUUUUUCAGUGGCGCAGCUAACGUAGUAAGUUGACCGCCUGGGGAGUACGGCCGCAAGGCUAAAACUCAAAGAAUGACGG
Molecule: ribosomal RNA, 580 nt
Filed under: uncultured bacterium
Lineage: Bacteria
Description: bacterial SSU rRNA
Rfam family: Bacterial small subunit ribosomal RNA
Source: RNAcentral